Molecule: ribosomal RNA, 925 nt
Filed under: uncultured bacterium
Lineage: Bacteria
Description: bacterial SSU rRNA
Rfam family: Bacterial small subunit ribosomal RNA
Source: RNAcentral
AGAGUUUGAUCCUGGCUCAGGAUGAACGCUGGCGGCGUGCCUAACACAUGCAAGUCGAGCGUGAACCCUGCGAAUGAAACUUCGGUCGAUUUUGCAGGAGGAAAGCGGCGGACGGGUGAGUAACGCGUAGGUAACCCUGCCCCAUACUGAGGGAUAGCCUCGGGAAACCGGGAUUAAUACCUCAUAACACCGUUUGUUCGCAUGGACGAACGGUCAAAGAUUUACCGGUAUGGGAUGGGCCUGCGUCUGAUUAGCUGGUUGGUGGGGUAACGGCCUACCAAGGCGACGAUCAGUAGCCGACCUGAGAGGGUGAUCGGCCACAUUGGGACUGAGACACGGCCCAGACUCCUACGGGAGGCAGCAGUAGGGAAUUUUCGGCAAUGGGGGGAACCCUGACCGAGCAACGCCGCGUGAACGAGGAAGGUCUUUGGAUCGCAGAGUUCUGUUGUAAGGGAAUAAACGAUUAUAGAGGGAAUGCUAUAAUUUUGACGGUACCUUACCAGAAAGCCACAGCUAACUACGUGCCAGCAGCCGCGGUAAUACGUAGGUGGCGAGCGUUAUCCGGAAUUAUUGGGCGUAAAGGGUGCGUAGGCGGCUUAAUAAGUUUGUGGUGAAAUCGUGGGGCUCAACUCCAUCAAGCCACAAAAACUGUAAAGCUAGAGGACAGUAGAGGCAAGUGGAAUUCCAUGUGUAGCGGUAAAAUGCGUAGAUAUAUGGAGGAACACCAGUGGCGAAGGCGGCUUGCUGGACUGUAACUGACGCUGAGGCACGAAAGCGUGGGGAGCAAAUAGGAUUAGAUACCCUAGUAGUCCACGCCGUAAACGAUGAAUACUAAGUGUUGGAGAAAUUCAGUGCUGCAGUUAACGCAAUAAGUAUUCCGCCUGGGGAGUACGCACGCAAGUGUGAAACUCAAAGGAAUUGACGG